This 87-nucleotide transfer RNA is filed under the name Escherichia coli. RNAcentral describes it as "tRNA-Leu". It matches the Rfam family "tRNA". From Rfam's summary of the family: Transfer RNA (tRNA) molecules are approximately 80 nucleotides in length. Their secondary structure includes four short double-helical elements and three loops (D, anti-codon, and T loops). RNAcentral also lists the same sequence under 1 other name. The record is from RNAcentral. Lineage: Bacteria; Pseudomonadati; Pseudomonadota; Gammaproteobacteria; Enterobacterales; Enterobacteriaceae.
GCGAAGGUGGCGGAAUUGGUAGACGCGCUAGCUUCAGGUGUUAGAGUUCUUACGGACGUGGGGGUUCAAGUCCCCCCCCUCGCACCA